UUCCUUGAUGAAUGGCACUGGGCUCCGACAGCCACAAAGUUGGCUGGUCUUGAUGGAUAUGCCCUAUCGCGGCAGGCCUAGAAAACCUCGCCCACUGAUU
Molecule: small nucleolar RNA, 100 nt
Filed under: Exophiala sideris
Lineage: Eukaryota; Fungi; Ascomycota; Eurotiomycetes; Chaetothyriales; Herpotrichiellaceae
Description: Exophiala sp. SST-2011 A. fumigatus snoRNA Afu_513
Rfam family: A. fumigatus snoRNA Afu_513
Source: Rfam by way of RNAcentral